This 255-nucleotide ribosomal RNA is filed under the name uncultured bacterium. RNAcentral describes it as "partial 16S ribosomal RNA". It matches the Rfam family "Bacterial small subunit ribosomal RNA", at positions 524 to 777 of the family's 1533-position model. The record is from RNAcentral.
GACGAACCGUGCGAACGUUAUUCGGAAUCACUGGGCUUAAAGCGCGUGUAGGCGGGCCGGCACGUCGGUCGUUGAAAUCCCCCGGCUCAACCGGGGAAGCGGCGCCGAUACGACCGGCCUCGAGGGACGUAGGGGGGGCUGGAACUUCCGGUGGAGCGGUGAAAUGCGUUGAGAUCGGAAGGAACGCCCGUGGCGAAAGCGAGCCCCUGGACGUCUACUGACGCUGAGACGCGAAAGCCAGGGGAGCGAACGGGG